This 348-nucleotide unclassified non-coding RNA is filed under the name soil metagenome. RNAcentral's name for it is "partial contains 5.8S ribosomal RNA, internal transcribed spacer 2, and large subunit ribosomal RNA". The stretch from base 5 to 119 matches the Rfam family "5.8S ribosomal RNA", at positions 40 to 154 of the family's 154-position model. The record is from RNAcentral.
GAUGAGAACGCAGCGAACUGCGAUAAGUAAUGUGAAUUGCAGAAUUCAGUGAAUCAUCGAGUCUUUGAACGCACAUUGCGCCCCCUGGCAUUCCGGGGGGCAUGCCUGUCCGAGCGUCAUUGCUGCCCUUCAAGCCCGGCUUGUGUGUUGGGUCGUCGUCCCCCCCGGGGGACGGGCCCGAAAGGCAGCGGCGGCACCGCGUCCGGUCCUCGAGCGUAUGGGGCUUUGUCACCCGCUCGAUUAGGGCCGGCCGGGCGCCAGCCGGCGUCUCCAACCUUCUAUUUUACCAGGUUGACCUCGGAUCAGGUAGGGAUACCCGCUGAACUUAAGCAUAUCAAUAAGCGGGGA